This 420-nucleotide ribosomal RNA is filed under the name uncultured bacterium. RNAcentral's name for it is "bacterial SSU rRNA". It matches the Rfam family "Bacterial small subunit ribosomal RNA", at positions 358 to 769 of the family's 1533-position model. The record is from RNAcentral.
GGAAUCUUGGGCAAUGGGCGAAAGCCUGACCCAGCGACGCCGCGUGAGGGAUGAAGGCCUUCGGGUCGUAAACCUCUGUCGGGAGGGAAGAAUGGCGGUAGGGCGAAUAGUCCUGCCGUUUGACGGUACCUCCAAAGGAAGCGCCGGCUAACUCCGUGCCAGCAGCCGCGGUAAUACGGAGGGCGCAAGCGUUGUUCGGAAUCACUGGGCGUAAAGCGCGUGUAGGCGGCCGGGCAAGUCGGAUGUGAAAUCCCGAGGCUCAACCUCGGAACUGCAUUCGAAACUGCUCGGCUCGAGUCCCGGAGAGGAUGGCGGAAUUCCCGGUGUAGGGGUGAAAUCCGUAGAUAUCGGGAGGAACACCAGUGGCGAAGGCGGCCAUCUGGACGGUGACUGACGCUGAGACGCGAAAGCGUGGGGAGC